GCAUUGGUGGUUCAGUGGUAGAAUUCUCGCCUGCCACGCACGGAGGCCCGGGUUCGAUUCCCGGCCAAUGCA
Alosa alosa (allis shad) is the source of this 72-nucleotide non-coding RNA. NCBI's taxonomy places the organism in Eukaryota, Metazoa, Chordata, Actinopteri, Clupeiformes, Clupeidae. The record is from the annotation of a RefSeq genome assembly.